Molecule: ribosomal RNA, 377 nt
Filed under: uncultured Planctomycetota bacterium
Lineage: Bacteria; Pseudomonadati; Planctomycetota
Description: bacterial SSU rRNA
Rfam family: Bacterial small subunit ribosomal RNA
Source: RNAcentral
UAAUACGGAAGGUGCAAGCGUUGUUCGGAAUCACUGGGCUUAAAGAGCGUGUAGGCGGGAUGGUAGGUGCUUUGUGAAAUCCCUCGGCUCAACCGAGGAAUGGCUGGGCAAACCUCCAUUCUUGAGGCAGGUAGAGGCGACUGGAACCUUUGGUGGAGCGGUGAAAUGCGUAGAGAUCAAAGGGAACACCGGUGGCGAAAGCGAGUCGCUGGGCCUGUCCUGACGCUGAGACGCGAAAGCGUGGGUAGCGAACAGGAUUAGAUACCCUGGUAGUCCACGCCGUAAACGAUGCGCACUAGGUACGGGGUUCUCUGACGGAGUCCGUGCCGAAGCAAAAGCGAUAAGUGCGCCGCCUGGGGAGUACGGCCGCAAGGCUA